This 159-nucleotide ribosomal RNA is filed under the name uncultured Serratia sp. RNAcentral describes it as "partial 16S ribosomal RNA". It matches the Rfam family "Bacterial small subunit ribosomal RNA", at positions 356 to 507 of the family's 1533-position model. Lineage: Bacteria; Pseudomonadati; Pseudomonadota; Gammaproteobacteria; Enterobacterales; Yersiniaceae. The record is from RNAcentral.
GGGGAAUAUUGCACAAUGGGCGCAAGCCUGAUGCAGCCAUGCCGCGUGUGUGAAGAAGGCCUUCGGGUUGUAAAGCACUUUCAGCGAGGAGGAAGGUGGUGAGCUUAAUACGCUCAUCAAUUGACGUUACUCGCAGAAGAAGCACCGGCUAACUCCGUG